UACGUAGGGGGCAAGCGUUGUCCGGAUUUAUUGGGCGUAAAGAGCGUGUAGGCGGCCACACAGGUCAGCUGUGAAAACUCGAGGCUCAACCUCGAGACGUCGGUUGAAACCGUAUGGCUAGAGUCCGGAAGAGGAGAGUGGAAUUCCCGGUGUAGCGGUGAAAUGCGCAGAUAUCGGGAAGAACACCGGUGGCGAAGGCGGCUCACUGGCUCAUUACUGACGCUCAGGCGCGAUAGCGUGGGGAUCAAACAGG
This 253-nucleotide ribosomal RNA is filed under the name uncultured bacterium. RNAcentral describes it as "partial 16S ribosomal RNA". It matches the Rfam family "Bacterial small subunit ribosomal RNA", at positions 524 to 776 of the family's 1533-position model. The record is from RNAcentral.